RNAcentral lists this unclassified non-coding RNA (339 nucleotides) under soil metagenome. RNAcentral's name for it is "partial contains 5.8S ribosomal RNA, internal transcribed spacer 2, and large subunit ribosomal RNA". The stretch from base 1 to 120 matches the Rfam family "5.8S ribosomal RNA", at positions 35 to 154 of the family's 154-position model. The record is from RNAcentral.
GAUGAAGAACGUAGCGAAAUGCGAUACGUAGUGUGAAUUGCAGAAUUCAGUGAAUCAUCGAAUCUUUGAACGCACAUUGCGCCCUUUGGUAUUCCAAAGGGCAUGCCUGUUCGAGCGUCAUUUGUACCCUCAAGCUUUGCUUGGUGUUGGGCGUCUUUUGUCUCCAGUUCGCUGGAGACUCGCCUUAAAGUCAUUGGCAGCCGGCCUACUGGUUUCGGAGCGCAGCACAAGUCGCGCUCUUAGCCAGCCAAGGUCAGCGUCCAGCAAGCCUUUUUUCAACCUUGACCUCGGAUCAGGUAGGGAUACCCGCUGAACUUAAGCAUAUCAAUAAGCGGAGGA